UUAGCUCAGUUGGUUAGAGCAUCUGACUGUUAAUCAGAGGGUCGCUGGUUCAAGUCCA
RNAcentral lists this transfer RNA (58 nucleotides) under Sphingobacteriales bacterium 40-81. RNAcentral describes it as "tRNA-Asn". It matches the Rfam family "tRNA", at positions 8 to 61 of the family's 71-position model. From Rfam's summary of the family: Transfer RNA (tRNA) molecules are approximately 80 nucleotides in length. Lineage: Bacteria; Pseudomonadati; Bacteroidota; Sphingobacteriia; Sphingobacteriales. The record is from RNAcentral.